GAUGAACGCUGGCGGCGUGCCUAAUACAUGCAAGUCGAGCGAACAGACGAGAGUGCUUGCACUCUCUGACGUUAGCGGCGGACGGGUGAGUAACACGUGGGUAACCUACCUAUAAGACUGGGAUAACUUCGGGAAACCGGAGCUAAUACCGGAUAAUAUUUAGCUUCGCAUGAAGCAAUAGUGAAAGACGGUUCUGCUGUCACUUAUAGAUGGACCCGCGGUGUAUUAGCUAGUUGGUGAGGUAACGGCUCACCAAGGCAACGAUACAUAGCCGACCUGAGAGGGUGAUCGGCCACACUGGGACUGAGACACGGCCCAGACUCCUACGGGAGGCAGCAGUAGGGAAUCUUCCGCAAUGGACGGAAGUCUGACGGAGCAAUGCCGCGUGAGUGAAGAAGGUGUUCGGAUCGUAAAACUCUGUUGUAAGGGAAGAACAAGUACGUUAGUAACUGAACGUACCUUGACGGUACCUGACCAGAAAGCCACGGCUAACUACGUG
Molecule: ribosomal RNA, 499 nt
Filed under: uncultured bacterium
Lineage: Bacteria
Description: partial 16S ribosomal RNA
Rfam family: Bacterial small subunit ribosomal RNA
Source: RNAcentral